UACAUGAGUAAUUGUGUAACAUGUUAAUUGUUUGAGUCAAAGUUCCAGAUGCUUGAAAUCUAGAUAAAUAGAAUUUUCCAGUGAGAUAUACUUGGCAUGUCGUUGGAGGAUUAUUGAUUUCAUUAAAGGGUUAAUGCAGAUGUUCUUAUCAAUGUGUCUCAAUCCACACUAUAUCCUACUUGUUGCUAACUGAAAGGACAAAGCAUUUGACUUUUGGAUUUUAUAUGGUUGAUGGUACAUCAGGAAGUCCUUGAUAUUGGUUUGCACGAAACAUUUGCAACAUGAAGAUGCCAAGAAUUGGAAGCUUAUAUCUAUGGAUACACUUCCAAUACAAAAUAAAUACAUUUAAGAGUGGCAGGAUGUUUUGCAUAGAGUUCAUUAGCCAUGGAGACCAUGAUUCAAUAGUCAAAUAUGAGCAGUUGGGUUAAGUGGGUUAAUUCUGAUCCACCUACAGCCAUAUUGCACCUGGAGGUGCCGUGUUGGGAACUUAAGGAAGAAGAAUAAAAUUUGAAGUUGACUUGGAAUAAAUGCCCAUAUCAUGAUCAUCAUGUGGUUCUUUUGUGAUUUGCUUGUUGUGAGCAGUCCUCUAAUCAAGGGCAGGGUUAGGUGCAAUGCAGCAGUUUGUUCUCAUGAUCAUGUUUUGGCAGAUUACUUUUGCUAUGUCAAGAUUGGUAGGUUCCUGUCAUGGUUGAAGGAUGUUGCAAAUGAAAAUCUAAGUGGCAUGGUGCUUGUUUUAUUUGUGAAUCUAGAGAUUGGUACAAGGUUCUUGCUGGUUGUUGGCACUGGCUUACUACCAGUUCUAUUAGUCCUUCCAUUAAGGAGGCCAUUUAAUAUCUGGUGCAAAGAGGGUGCUGGUAAUUUUGGUCUUGACAAGUAGCAGAGCUGUAUCAAAAAUAAUUCUCAGGAAGGGUUGGACUCAAAGAACGUUCAUUAGAAGCAUCAGCAGCAGCAGGAAAAGUUUUUGCAUCAAACAGGAGGAUAGGAAGUUUUCUCUUGAGCAGCAGUGACACAAAGAUGAAAGCUUGAUUGCUUGUAGUUUUUAUUUCCCCUGGUUUUGGUUGCAAUUUUUAAAGAUUAUUUUACUUCUUUGAUAUGUUGACAGUAGAUUUACUUCUUUGGUGUUUGGUUGGCUCUAAAGAUAUUUAUAGUCUUUGUUGUAUUGCAUGUUUCUUUUAAUAAUAAUUACUCCAAAGAAA
Long non-coding RNA from Quercus lobata, 1196 nucleotides. RefSeq lists it as uncharacterized. The transcript has 5 exons. The record is from RefSeq and is a predicted model, not a curated record. NCBI's taxonomy places the organism in Eukaryota, Viridiplantae, Streptophyta, Magnoliopsida, Fagales, Fagaceae.